Molecule: ribosomal RNA, 592 nt
Filed under: uncultured organism
Description: bacterial SSU rRNA
Rfam family: Bacterial small subunit ribosomal RNA
Source: RNAcentral
UUAAGUGAUCCACCUGGGGAGUACGUCGGCAACGAUGUAACUCUAAGGAAUUGACGUGGGCCCGCACAAGCGGUGGAACAUGUGGUUUAAUUCGAUGAUACGCGAGGAACCUUACCUGGGCUUAAAUGUAGCCGGACGAUUCCGGAAACGGGAUAUCCUUAACGGCUGGUUACAAGGUGCUGCAUGGCUGUCGUCAGCUCGUGCCGUGAGGUGUCGGGUUAAGUCCCAUAACGAGCGCAACCCUUAUUCUUAGUUGCCAGCGGGUAGAGCCGGGGACUCUAAGGAGACUGCCACCGUAAGGUGUGAGGAAGGUGGGGAUGACGUCAAGUCAGCACGGCCCUUACGUCCAGGGCUACACACGUGUUACAAUGGCCGGUACAGAAGGCAGCAAACUUGAGAGAGGGCGCGAAUCCAUGAAAGCCGGUCUCAGUUCGGAUUGGAGUCUGCAACCCGACUUCAUGAAGUUGGAAUCGCUAGUAAUCGCGCAUCAGCAAUGGCGCGGUGAAUACGUUCCCGGGCCUGUACACACCGCCCGUCAAGCCAUGGAAGCCGGGGUACCUGAAGUCCGUACCGCAAGGGCGGCCGAGGUAAA